CUGUGAUUUUGUUAUUUAUGAUUUGGGUCUGUUUUCUGAGAAAUGCUGGCCACAGAGACUGAGGAGAGGCAGUGCCACCAAGCAGGAGACCUUCCGUUCAGCUCUGGUAAUGGUAACACCUGCUUCCCCGUGCUUGUCUUAAAAGCACUAAAAGCAGGUAGCUGGUGGCUUUUCUUAUGGGUCUCGGAUAACCUCAGGACCCAAUUGACAACACAGAUGGGAAGUCGCAGACCUGAGUAAUGAGGUGGUGUCACAGAAACCUCGGAAGGUUCUAGGAUGCCACAAACAACCGGCACCUGAGGAAGCAUUCUCUUCUAAUAUUUUUUUCCCCUUCAAAGUCUUUGGGGUUGACCGCUUGGUGCUGAAUAACAAAGCCGGGAGCUCUUCCCAGGGGCAGACGAUUACUCAAAGUCUCAGAGAUCCCUAUUUUCGUCUAGGAUUAAGGGUGCGGUGAGAUUUCCCCCUCCCAUGUCAGCGUGGCUAUUGGUGUUGCCUUCAUUCAGGCCUUUUCUAGGUGGCCGUGACGACGAGACUUCGCUGAUGUGGCUUCUCUCACAUUUCGAGAAGAUGAGUUCUCCCAGGAAGCCUCCUGCUCCUUGACUCUCACAAUCCUUCUGCCGCCUGUCACUGCAGUCCCUUAAGCCUCUGGGGGCAGGAAUUGGCCAACUACUGGGGCCAGUGAAGUCAAUGAUCUUGGUAGAGAACCUACAUCCACCAUUUUACUAAAAAGGCGUCAUUCCUUAAAUAAAUCUUAAAUAUUUACCCUCCACCUACAGGUAAGUACAGAUCUUAGCCCUCGUCAGGGAGAAGAGGUCCUUGUAACAGAUGCUUCCCAUUCUCAUCCAGCCUCACAGCAUCAGCAGCUGUCCUGGGUACCCUUUAGGGAUGCUUCCUUUGGCUGAGGAAAUGCAGCUUGUCAAGGACUAGAUUCCUCUGGAGGAAAACAACUUCAGCAAGGAUGCUAGCAGGCGGGAGAGCUGAGGGCAGAUUGACCGAAGUCGCAAUUGUGAACUGGCCACAGUGGACUGACUGCCUCCACAUGCAAAACUUUAAGCUCCUAUUCCAUAUCCUCUGGAAAAUGGAGGUAAUAACAUUAGAAAGCUGAAGCCAUCUUCCUGUAGACAGUCAGGAUGAAGGUUGCACAGGAGGCCCUGGGGAGCCCACUGAGUGUUGGACGCUCUCACUGUUAGUAAUGAGUGGGUCCUUGUCACAGGGAGCCUGCUGUAGGACGGUUGCGCAACGUAGGAGCCGGUUCUAGAAUGCAGUGGAAACUCAGCGAAGGUUGAUGUCCUUAGGCAGGUGAAGGCAAGUACAGGACAGAACAAGGCCUGCCAUUGGAUGAGAAGGAAGGAUGGGCAGGAGGAACGUUUUAGAGAAGCAGAGCGAAAGGAGGAGGCAGCCGAGAGAACAUGGCUGCGAAUGUUAAGAUUCCUCUCUGCACACAUUACAGGUUGUUGUGACUGUUGUUAAGGGAUGGAUGUGUACAGGACUUUGUGUUGUCUAGAUGGGAAAAUUAUAUCUUAUCUAGAAGGGAGGUUUAUAUCCUUAUCAAUUGAAUCAGAGGAUAUUCUGGGAUGUAUUCCUUCAUGUGGCAAUUUAAUUGAGCUCAAGAGAGUAUAUGGUGGCUGGAUGCACCAGGCCCGCUACAGAAUUGGGAUGUGUAUGCCUGGCAUGGUGGAAAUCAGCCAAGGGAGCUGUGAGUGAGGGUGGGGUGGCCUGACAGGGUGCCGUGUUGGAAUGGCUCACAGACAGUGGGUCAGAAAGUAGAUGGGGGCAGCAUGAAGCCACUGAGAUCAAUUGGCCCUAGUUCCAAUGGCCUGCCGGAGCCUGAACUAGUGAGAGAACAAGAGAAGUUCCUCCCCUUUUUUAUUUUUACCACAGCUCAGUCCUGGCUCCGAACCCAUGGCCUGGAUGGAUAGAUUCUUUUACCCAUUAUAGUAGGUCCAGAGACCCAGACAAGACCAGAUCUUGCAAAGGGAGGAUCUCAACCCCAAACUUGUGGCUGAAAGAGCACAGGCACCUGUUUGGAUGCUCAUACCUGUUCUGGUUAGUCAGCUGCUCCUGGAGCCCCUUAUAUCUCCACAUGGCAUUUGUCUCUGUUGUAGGUGAGCCCUCUGCCCUUUAGAAUCGCAUGGUAAGCUCUAAUUCCGAAAGCACUAUUUAGACCCCAUUCAAUACUCCUUAAAAUUCCGAGUUCCUAUCUAUUUCCUACAAAUUUAAAAUUUCUGAUUAAAUCAACAUUUACUCUGAGUGUCUUACUCCUCAGUGUGGAUGACGAGAUUAUCAAUCGUGUAUGUUUGAAUAAGGACUAAAUACAGACUUCAUAAUGUCGAGACAACAAACAUGCAGAGAGACAGCUUUUAGACAGCACUCUCCUUAUUUGCAAUAACAGAAUACACAAAUUAUGGCUUUCCUCUCCCCAAGGGUCAGUGGAGUAAACUCAGCUAACAGUAUUAUAAUCAAAUUAUUUUAUGUACAUUACUAUCUUUCUUAUUAAUCGCUCGUUCUUUUUUAAAGAAGUGUUUUGACCAAGAAGAGCAUUUUAUUCUACAGCAAAGGACCCCACUGUUUAAGAAGUCAGUCUAUCUAUAUUCAUUCAUGCAUAAUUUAAUAAGUGUCUGCGCUCCACUUACGCAUUCAUUGUGGAGCCUUAUACAUGUUUUAGGCUGUAAUGGGCUGGGGGAAUUUAGUUGGGUCAAAUUUAGUUUCUGCAAACUGGGAUGGAAUGCUUCUAUAAUGCCAACUUUUACUAGUCAUUUAAACAAAUAAAAGAGACAACCCUCAGAAAGGAACUCCUUGACACAAGGAGGCCAUGUUUAGAUAAGGCUCAGAGGGAUACAGGGAAGAAACAGAAAGGAAUGAUAGAUACUGCUUCCACAUGUGGAAUUCCACAGUAAUUGCAGGAUGGGGCCUCAAGAGAGGAUAGAGACAGCUUCUACUUCAAGGCAGAAAGAACCGGGGCUCUGGCACUGCACUGGGGGGAGCUGCUUAGAUCAGGGUUGAAACAUGAGUUAUGAACAUGAGGAAUGAAGUCCAUCUGCGUGGAGUCCAACAGCUCGAUGGCCAUGGAAGGACCUAAGAAAUGAGGUAGGUCAAGGGGGUGUCAGCUCAGAGUGAGUUCAUCAUGGGGUUGUUGGGAGUAUUGAAAACCAAAAGCUAGGAUUCUGAGCUAGGAUUCUGAGGGGCCAUAUAUCUGAGGAUAUGGUGGGUCCUAAGAUGAAGUUGCUAUCGCCAGAUGUCCACAUUUUGGGGCUCUCUGUCUGCAUCAGGGGGUCUGGGCGAUGCUGGUUUGAUUCUUCAGACACUCUUCCUGCCUGUUUAGGUCAGCUCCUUCAUUUCCAGUCAUGGCUCUGGGCUUCUUCCCAUUUUACAAACAGAGCGUCAGGGGGAGCACCUUCAGGAUCGCAUGGCAACCAGUUCAAGAGUCAGCCCAUGCAGAGCCACCCUGGGGUCACUGUGUUCUCAAGCAGGUAGAGAUGGGGUACUUUGGACGCUGUGAGGUGAUGGCAGCUGGAGGUGAGGAAGGAGGUGGGGUGAAAGGCAAUUGAUGAUAGAGUAGUUUUAGUGGGCUGGAGUGAUUGACAGCUCCUGGAUUUUACUGUGUACUCCUGUCUACCUCUGUGGACAGAAGUUGCUUUUCCACACAAAUCUCAUCACGCUCCAUAUCCAGGUGAGAUGUCUGAAUGAAGGGAAGUUGGAUAGAAUGUCAGCCUUCAACAAAGCUAUAGAAUUGAGUUACAGAGCUCUCAGUUCUGCACUGCCUCUAUCUGCCUGCUUACCACUCACAUAGGGUCUUCAUACUCUGCUGGGAGCUUCAGGCCAGAAGCUAGAGGCUGGCCUUCUGUAGGGGAUGAGCCCUAAGUCCUCAUCCACUUAAGCAUUUUUGUCCUGCUCCUAACUUCCAGGGGAGGGCAUUGCCUACCUGAACAAGCCCCUCACCUGACUCACUGCUUCUCAGGAUAAAGGUCAGAGUAGGCAAACUCAUUGGCUCUGAGUCGUGUAGCAUCCCAGGCCUUCUGGAUAGUGAUUGGUACUCUUGCUCCUUGCUAAAACAGAUAGUGGGCUUUUCGAAAUCACAUUGUCUAAUUUUGGAUCUCCCAACCUAAAAGGUUUUUUUAACAGGGUGACUCAUGCUGGAAAUGCACAGAGAGUAGGCCUGAUAUCACAUAACCUCCAAUAAACACCACCAAACAACAGGGCAACCUGGUUAGUGGUUUGAGACUCGGAGCCCAGGAGACUUUCAUAAGACAGAACGAAUUUUCCAGCAGGGAUUAUCCUUCAGAUUGGAAUUUAAUGAAACAAUCGCUAACACCGGAGGCUUAUGCAGAAGAACUGGCAGACUCCAGGGAGACUGGGGCUCGUCUGGGGAAGAUAUUUACCUAAUAAACCAUGAAUAAAUAAUAGAGCAUCUAAGUCAAGAGAUGCAGAGGACAAAGGUGGGGGCUGGAUAAAGCUUUAAAAGCUAAAUCAUGUCUUGACGGUGUGCUAUACACCAUUACUGUAGAAUCACAGUCACGGGUGCAGACGAAAGCGUCUAGGAAGCUGCUCAUGGCUCUGGGUAUGAGCUGUAUUAGAUCAGGUUAUGUAAUGACAGCAACAUCCUCAGUCAGUGAUGUUUCUUGCUUCUUGCUGAUUCCCCUUCCUUCUGUAUCUCUGUGUAUGUGUGUCUAUGUGCACACACAUACAAGUGUGCAUACAUGCUUGUGCAUGUGUGUGCAUGUAUGUGUGUGUGCUCAUGUAUAUACUGUAUACAUGUUACUCUGAAGGAGGCAUGUGGAUGUUACAUAUCAGUGUCUCCUUUAGUUGUUCUCAACCUUAUUCGUUUAGACAAGAUCUUUAAUUGAAUUUGGAACUCAUUCUGCCAGGCUGGUUGACCAGAAAGCUCUGGAGAUCCCUUCAUUUGAGAACUAGAAUUACAGAUGGCUUGGCUCUUUUAGGUGGGCUUUGAGGAUCUGAACUCAGGUCCUCAGGCUUACAUGACGAGUGCUUUACUGACUGAGCCAUCUCUUUAUCUCUGAAGGUUCAAUCCCUGCCUGUGCUCAAUGCAAGGAUGUUAUCGCCAGAGUUGUGACUCUCAUAAACAUGGAGGGGACAAGAUGACAGGGAUGUCAGAAUCUAUCAGAUGGGAAGAGAAGGCUGGAGAAUUGAAUACCAUAUUCCGACUGUGGUUUGAAAUGGCAUGUGCUACUUGCCUACACAUGUCCAAAGUCAGUCCUGGAGCUUGGACCUGCUAGCAUCAAGGAGAUAGGAAAUGUAGUCCCCUGUAGUCAGAGGGAAGAAAAAUCCCCAUUAUUGGUUUACUGUUAGUGUGCUGGUUAAUGUUUGUCAAUUUGAAGCAAAUAUGGGAAGAGGAGACCUCGGGUGAAGAACUGCUUCCAUCAGAUUUGCAUACGGCAUAUUUUCUUGAUUUACUAUGUGGGGGGACAUUCUACUGCGGAUGGUGCCCUUCUGGGCAAGUGGCCGGGAGGAUGUAUUAUGAGGCAGGCUGAGCAAGCAAAAGGAAGUCUGUGAGCAGCGCUCCCUCACAGCCUCUACUUCAGUUUCUCCCUUGAGUUCCUGCUCCGGUUUCCCUUCCUGAUGAACUCUAAUGUAGAAAUUUAUGCCAAAUAAACCCUUUCCUGCCGAGGAUGUUUUUGGUCAGUGUUUUAUCACGGCAACAGAAAGCAAGACCGGUUAGCAACCUUACCACAUGUGUAAUGGCAAAACCUGGGAAGAAGUAACCAUCACUGUAUAUGAUUCAUGUAAAAACAACCAUUAGAAGUGAGCUGGAUGACUUAAAAAUGAUAAAAUGCACAUUUUAGAAGCACAUGCACAAUAGUAGCCCUCUUAUAGUUAAUACACCCAUAGCACUUUUCUGUCAGUGGAUGGAGUAUACAUAGAGAUUGUGCUCACCUUCCAAAACACCUUGCAGUGGCUGUCAAAACUGUGGGUGCUCCUGAAAUCUGAACAGUGUGCCCCUAUUUCAUGCUGGGGUCAUAACAUCUGAUGCAUGAAGCAUGGCAGCAAAGGUCCUGCAGCAAAGGUCUUCCUUCUUCUUUGACCCAUAGAUAGAUUGACUUUCGCCAUUGACAUCAGCAAUGUUGACACAGAAUGCUAUUUUCUGUUGCUUAAGUCAAGAAUUUCACCCUGUCCCUUUCCUUUCAUUUAAAGGAAGCACGAAUAACUAAGACAGAAUCCAGAAUGCGCACUGCUUGUGGAAAGAAGGAAGUCUGGAUAGAGCAGGGCCCUGGCUUGCCGACCAUUGCUGGAAUAAAACUGAUCACACUGAUCACAGUCAACCUUUGGAGGAAAGGGCUAUUUGCUUUACAGAUCUAUCAAUGAGGAGAGUCAGGUCAGGGACUCAAAGCAGGAACCUGGAGUCUGAGGCCAGAGAGGAACAAUGCUUUGCAUGACCUGUUCAAUUUGCUUCUUUAAAUGGCCUGGGAAUCACCUGCCCAGAGCUGGCACAAAUCACAGUGGGCUGGGCUUCCCCAUCGAUCAGUAAUCAAGAAAAUGCCCCACAGAUGCACCCAUCGGCCAAUCUGAUGGAGGCACCUAAAUAUAUAGUGAUUUCUUUCCAGGUAACUCUAGUUGGUGUCAAGCUGACAAAAAUCUACCCAGUACAAGCACAUGCUAGAAGAUUCUAUGUGUGUGGACACAUGGAAAAGAGAAACUGUGGAGAUGACACGUAGAUUACUAGUUGCUAGGAAUGAGGAGGAAACAGGAGCCCAGUGUGAAACCAUUUAGGGCAAUGCAACAGAAUCUGAUGACGUAACCGUGCAUUCAUGGAGUAGCAGUUACUUUCCUCAUUGCUGUGGUCAGAUCCUGACAAAAAAUUAGGGAAGGAAACAGGUGUCUGGUAUAGUUUGAGGGGACAUCCCAUCCAUCACGAUGACGGUGGAAAAGGCACAGUGGCAGGAACAUGAGGUAACUAGUCACACUGGGUCCUCAAUCUGGAAACAGAAAUGAAGCCCAGUGUCUAGCUCGCUUUCUUCUUUUCCCCCAGUCCAGGAUGUCAGCCCGUGGAACAGAGAGCCUACAUUUAGACUGAGUCUUCCCACCUCGCUUAAUUCAGUCUCUAAACCCUCUCACAAAAACGUCCAGAGAUGCGUUUCUACGAUGAUUCUAAGUUCCACCAAGAUGGCAACCCAGGGUCUCCCGAUGUAUCUCCUACUGGCCUUGCCUCAGUGUCCCCAGUUCUACCCUUCCAGCUGUGUGCUACAGAAUCCGGCAUCUCUGUCUUUUAAGAGACCGUCAGAAGGAUGCGAAUCUGGGUUUAGACAGGUAAGUCUGUCGAGGAUGACUCAGGGGAAGGGAGGAUUGAUCAUGUUCUGCCCAGUAGCGAUUUCGGCAGUAGCAAUGACCAUGGUGCUGAUUAAUGGCCGGGUACAGUUGUGAGGACCUGAGCACAGACACUUGAGAGAGAAGGGUGGUGGGUGAGGUGAAGGAGCCACGCACAUCCGCAGGUGAGGUGAGUAAAUAAAUCCCAAGGAAAGGAGGAAAAUGAGCAUUCAUCAGAAGUGUGCUGAGCUGUGGUACCGCCAGGCACAAUCAGAGGGCUUCUUAAUUGCUUGUCAGAGACCAGUGCAUCUUGGCAAAAUGUUCCUCAACUAAUGCUCAGAGAGCUUUUUCCCCCCCUUAACCUGGCUUCAUUUAUCAUGAUUAGAAAACAAGUCAAAAUUGAUUUCUGUUUAUUUUAUGCGGCAAACCCCCGGGGAGGCUUUUCUUCCCAGUGGGUUUGACAAUUUUGAGCUGGGUAGGGGAAGCCCCUCCGAGCAUAAAGACCCACUUGAGUGCUGCUUCAAGCAGGUGUGUGAAGUCCUUGGGUCUUACAGACUGUGUCAGUCUCUUAAGCUUUUCCAAGCCACCUCCCACGCACGUACGUGAGCCUUUUAGGCAGCUCUUUCUUACAUUAAAAUGAGCACAUUAAGGGAGACUUGUAGGGAAAUAGCUCGGGGAGGUUUAGAAUCAGACCUGUGUUUGAUUUUCUUGGCUUUACCACCUCACAGCCCUAUGACCUUGGGAGAGUCACUAAAAGUUCUCUGAGGUUUAACUCGGGGAAAGCAAAUUCCUAUCUGAUUUCCCAAGACCCUUAGAAGUCUUGGGCUAAAGACGUUGACAUAGAAGUCCUGCUCCCCUAGUAAGAGGGUAGGCUACACAGCACUGUGAGUUCCAAGAUCCCAUCCUGGCUUCUGAGUUUCGUCAGCAGCACUACCCAUGCUCGGCUUUGGUUUGCAGCUGACACUUAGCAUACAGCCUGUCACAGAGUCGGUGCCCACCUGGACAGCUCAGGACGAAUGAUGCACCUAGGACACACCUUGGUGUGUUAGAUGUGCUUACCAGACACCGUUUUGUGUGAUCCAGUUUGUAUGCUGUCGUACGUUCCUCGAGGGAAAAAUACACUAAGCAGAUCUCUCCUCGCCAGCAGUGUGCCUCCUGCCGCAGAAGGUACAGCCAUGUACCCUUCAACUAAACCCACUACGCUCAGCUGAGGCAGGAGGAUUCAGGGACAGCCAGCCUGGGCAGUAUAGGGAGGUCCUAAUAUAAGUGCUUGUUCAUCUAAUAUUUCUGUCAGAGUUACAUGCCGUGACCAUCCUCAGACCUGCAAGAUAAAAAUCUGUGGUCAACUUGCCCAUACUUGUUCUUGCCCUCUAGCCAUGCCUAAGAGCUGGUUCUCUGUCUCUCUGUCUCUCUGUCUCUCUGUCUCUGUCUGUCUCUGUCUUUAUGUCUCUGUGUCUCUCAGACACACACACAUACACACACAUACAAUACACAUAUACACACACAUAUACACACACACAUACAUACACACACAUACACACACAGACACACACAUACACACACACAGACACACACACACACACACACACACACACACACACACGACAAAUACUCUAUUCUACUAGGACUUUGUUAAUUGGGUAAAUCAUAUCUGAAGAACUGACAUACAUCCCCAAUCUGGGUCCCUGCCUUGCUUGCGAACGAGCUAUGAUAGGAACAGUAAUGCCACACCCAGAAAAGGUCACCACACCCCUUUUCCUACUCAGACACUUAUAAGCCCCAAAGAGAUUCCAGGAGCUUGUGCUCUCCUUCUGGAAAUGAAAUCACAAAACCCACCACAACAAAAACCAAAACAACCUCAGCCAGGUGAGGCAGCCUUGGAGGGGUCUCCAUCUGAGCUCAAGCACCAGAAGUGUCCCCUGCACUGAUCUCAAACUUGCGUCCAGCAUGAGCUUAAACUCUGUUUCUGGGGCUCAGUGCUCAGGAGCUCUCCUCCUGUUCCCUUUAACUCACACCCCUGGUAACUAACUCCAGCCCCUCUGCCAGGACGCAUGUCUGCCCUGGGAUUUCUUUCAUCUGUGUAGCCAAGGAAAAGAUGAUUAAGGUUUUCAUUGUUCCACACAGAAGCUGGGAGCCAGACAGAAAUAUGGCCUGCCUUGGUGCCCAGUGUCCCCUUGUCUCACACUUGCUUUGUGACCCUUGCUCCUAAUUUCAUUCUUCCCUUUGCCUCAGAGAAACAGGUCUCUCUCUCUCUCUCUCUCUCUCUCUCUCUCUCUCACACACACACACACACACACACACACACAAACACACCCACUCUCUCUCUCUCUCUUACACACACACACACACACACACACACACACACACACUUUCUCCUACACUCUUCUUUCCCCCUGACAAUCUCUUUCUCUCCACUGCCCAAUUUCUAGAAGCUUACAGACGUGUAAGACUGGUUUACUCUGGAAAGAAGAAAAUAGCAAGCAAUUGUCCUCAUUCCCCCAGCCUUGACUUCUUUCUGACAGCAUCCAUUUCCUGCUCGCUCCUCUGUUUCCCGACCAGGUACUUCCCAGGCCUUGGCCAAUGAGCUAAGUGUCUCAUCCAUUUACUGAAAAUCUUACAGCCAGGAUCACCAAUAAUCAAAUAAAACUCAACUCCAGAGCAGGGUCUGUAUGACUCGUGGUAUGUUAUUUAUUUAUUUAUUUACUUAGUUAGAUUUGCUAAUAGCAGACACUGAGCCAUUAUUUGGACAAGAUACUCUGCCCCCCACAAUCUCUGUUCUUUCUGCCUACCAGAGGAAAAAUCAUGGUGCUGGGGAGAUGGUUCAGACAGAAAACUGGGCAAUGCAAGCAUGAAGACUUGAGUUUGGUAUCCCAGCACCCGUGUGAAACUCGUGUAGGCUUGAUAACACAGGCCUACAAUACCCCUGCUGGGGACCGAGACAGGAGACCCCUAGAGUUUGCUAGCUAAGCAGUAUAGACAAUUGCUGAGCUCAAGGUUUAGUGAGAGACCCUGAAAGCAAGGUGGAGAAAUGACUAAGAACCAUAAUUGACAUUAAUCCCUGGCCUCUAAACACACACACACACACACACACACACACACACACACACACACACCCCACCUGUAAGCAGGGCCUCCUUUACACCAGAGCUCCUAAAUCAGAGCUCUCAGUGGAUGAUAAAGGAGGCAGAUGUUCAUUAUCAUCAAACACAUAUGAAGCUGAGCUUUACACAACCUAAGGAUUCUGAGAGCUAAGUGUUAUUUUAUGAGACCUUUCAAUUUGGAAGUGCAUUGCAGAUAAAACAAGACUUCGGUGUAAACCACUGAUGUAUUGUGUUGUUAAGAACAAUGAAUUAUUAAAAGGAUAAUCUUUUAAACACCAAGAAAUUGUCUUCUAGUGCACUCCAGGGGCCGUGGGUAAAUGCAUUACGCCUGCAAAUUCAUGCUACCGGGCUGUAAUUUUCAAAAUCACCGUGGAAUACACCUGACGUCAUAGACUUAUCUUCCUCCCACAUUCUGGGCUACAGUGGGACCAUGGAGACGGUGUAUAGAACAAGUGAAAGGUCACCUUGCCCUCUAUUUCUGUGCACAGCUGAGAGGCCAUGGGUAAGCUAUUUAGAUAGCCCUUCCAAAAAGUACUCAAAACUCCAGCCCACCAGUGUGAUCUCCCAAGAGUCUUUGUGAUAAUUUAUUCUAUUGUUAAUUUUUGGUAGGAUUUUAGAGACACCAUGGGAACAAAUCUCUGUAAGGUAGCUUCUAGAUUAAGUUACUUAUUACAGGAAGGCCUACCCUAAAACUGGCUAGAACUAUGCCAUCAUCUGGAGACCUGGCCUGAAUAGAGAGGAGUGAGCUGAGGCCUGGCACCCCAUCUCUCUCUCUUCUUACUGUGAAUGCCAUGUGGCCUCCCUCCUGAUGCCCCAUCUUUCCCACCAUGAUGAAUUAUACCCUCAAACCAUGAGCCAAAAUAAGUCCUCCUUUCCUUUGUCACAGCAACAAAACAAUGCCUUUGUCUUUGGUCUCACCACAAAUUCUUACCUCGCGGCAUCUUUGCACCAAGAUUCACCCUUUCUAAGGCAGUCAAAGCCUCUAUGAGGCCGAUGGUCCCAUUUAAUCAGUGAAUCUGGUUCUAUUGGGGUGUAAAGCUCCAGCUCAGAAUUUGGUCCCUAAGCCUGAGUCUAUCUCAGCCCAAACCCCAGCCCCAGACAACUGGGUAUGGCCUCUCUCCACAUACUCAUCCCUCAUGGUAUUGUCACGCCACCCCCAAGCAUUGUGUGGACAAAGUCCCAUGGCUGCAUACUUUCCCCAUAGUUCGUUGGCCACAGCUCUGUGCUCUCAGUGCCCUCUGCUCCCACAGCUUUCUCCAUUCAGUAGAUGAGAGCUUCGCAGGAGAAUCCUAAUACAUACUGUUUAAAUUAUCCAAGAGCGUCAUUAAAAAGUAAAAUCAAACGUUUUCAUUGAUGAUAGGAAUCAUCUUAAUAAUAUAUUUUAUUUAACUUUGUGGAGUCAAAAAUCAUUAUUUUAUACGGCAUAGGAACUAUUCAUGAGAUUUAAAAAAAAAAAAAAAGAAA
Rattus norvegicus (Norway rat) is the source of this 11825-nucleotide non-coding RNA. The record is from RefSeq and is a predicted model, not a curated record. Lineage: Eukaryota; Metazoa; Chordata; Mammalia; Rodentia; Muridae.